This 83-nucleotide non-coding RNA is filed under the name Clostridium cuniculi. Its description in RNAcentral is "Glycine riboswitch". It matches the Rfam family "Glycine riboswitch aptamer", at positions 9 to 86 of the family's 94-position model. Rfam says of the family: This family represents the bacterial glycine riboswitch. Glycine riboswitches usually consist of two metabolite-binding aptamers domains with similar structures in tandem. The record is from RNAcentral. Lineage: Bacteria; Bacillati; Bacillota; Clostridia; Eubacteriales; Clostridiaceae.
AAAACUCUGGAAAGCCCUAUAAGGCACCGACGAAGCAAUCUUAAAUGUAGUAAGAGAAUCUUUCAGGUAAAAAGACAGAGGCG